Molecule: ribosomal RNA, 274 nt
Filed under: uncultured bacterium
Lineage: Bacteria
Description: partial 16S ribosomal RNA
Rfam family: Bacterial small subunit ribosomal RNA
Source: RNAcentral
AUACGGAGGGUGCAAGCGUUGUUCGGAAUUAUUGGGCGUAAAGCGCGCGUAGGCGGCUUGGUAAGUCGGAUGUGAAAGCCCGGGGCUCAACCCCGGAAUUGCAUUCGAAACUGCCCGGCUAGAGUCUCGGAGAGGAGGGCGGAAUUCCCGGUGUAGAGGUGAAAUUCGUAGAUAUCGGGAGGAACACCAGUGGCGAAGGCGGCCCUCUGGACGAUGACUGACGCUGAGGUGCGAAAGCGUGGGGAGCAAACAGGAUUAGAAACCCCGGUAGUCC